GGGUGUUUAGCCUAGUGGUUAAGCUGCCAUUUUAGAGAAGAUUAGCAUGUCCCCUGCGCAAGGAUGGCACACAAAUUCAUGAAGCAUUCCAUAUUUUU
This is a small nuclear RNA of Oryctolagus cuniculus (rabbit), 98 nucleotides long. The record is from Ensembl. Lineage: Eukaryota; Metazoa; Chordata; Mammalia; Lagomorpha; Leporidae.